RNAcentral lists this ribosomal RNA (1492 nucleotides) under Lacticaseibacillus paracasei. RNAcentral describes it as "bacterial SSU rRNA". It matches the Rfam family "Bacterial small subunit ribosomal RNA". Lineage: Bacteria; Bacillati; Bacillota; Bacilli; Lactobacillales; Lactobacillaceae. The record is from RNAcentral.
GAUGAACGCUGGCGGCGUGCCUAAUACAUGCAAGUCGAACGAGUUCUCGUUGAUGAUCGGUGCUUGCACCGAGAUUCAACAUGGAACGAGUGGCGGACGGGUGAGUAACACGUGGGUAACCUGCCCUUAAGUGGGAGAUAACAUUUGGAAACAGAUGCUAAUACCGCAUAGAUCCAAGAACCGCAUGGUUCUUGGCUGAAAGAUGGCGUAAGCUAUCGCUUUUGGAUGGACCCGCGCCGUAUUAGCUAGUUGGUGAGGUAAUGGCUCACCAAGGCGAUGAUACGUAGCCGAACUGAGAGGUUGAUCGGCCACAUUGGGACUGAGACACGGCCCAAACUCCUACGGGAGGCAGCAGUAGGGAAUCUUCCACAAUGGACGCAAGUCUGAUGGAGCAACGCCGCGUGAGUGAAGAAGGCUUUCGGGUCGUAAAACUCUGUUGUUGGAGAAGAAUGGUCGGCAGAGUAACUGUUGUCGGCGUGACGGUAUCCAACCAGAAAGCCACGGCUAACUACGUGCCAGCAGCCGCGGUAAUACGUAGGUGGCAAGCGUUAUCCGGAUUUAUUGGGCGUAAAGCGAGCGCAGGCGGUUUUUUAAGUCUGAUGUGAAAGCCCUCGGCUUAACCGAGGAAGCGCAUCGGAAACUGGGAAACUUGAGUGCAGAAGAGGACAGUGGAACUCCAUGUGUAGCGGUGAAAUGCGUAGAUAUAUGGAAGAACACCAGUGGCGAAGGCGGCUGUCUGGUCUGUAACUGACGCUGAGGCUCGAAAGCAUGGGUAGCGAACAGGAUUAGAUACCCUGGUAGUCCAUGCCGUAAACGAUGAAUGCUAGGUGUUGGAGGGUUUCCGCCCUUCAGUGCCGCAGCUAACGCAUUAAGCAUUCCGCCUGGGGAGUACGACCGCAAGGUUGAAACUCAAAGGAAUUGACGGGGGCCCGCACAAGCGGUGGAGCAUGUGGUUUAAUUCGAAGCAACGCGAAGAACCUUACCAGGUCUUGACAUCUUUUGAUCACCUGAGAGAUCAGGUUUCCCCUUCGGGGGCAAAAUGACAGGUGGUGCAUGGUUGUCGUCAGCUCGUGUCGUGAGAUGUUGGGUUAAGUCCCGCAACGAGCGCAACCCUUAUGACUAGUUGCCAGCAUUUAGUUGGGCACUCUAGUAAGACUGCCGGUGACAAACCGGAGGAAGGUGGGGAUGACGUCAAAUCAUCAUGCCCCUUAUGACCUGGGCUACACACGUGCUACAAUGGAUGGUACAACGAGUUGCGAGACCGCGAGGUCAAGCUAAUCUCUUAAAGCCAUUCUCAGUUCGGACUGUAGGCUGCAACUCGCCUACACGAAGUCGGAAUCGCUAGUAAUCGCGGAUCAGCACGCCGCGGUGAAUACGUUCCCGGGCCUUGUACACACCGCCCGUCACACCAUGAGAGUUUGUAACACCCGAAGCCGGUGGCGUAACCCUUUUAGGGAGCGAGCCGUCUAAGGUGGGACAAAUGAUUAGGGUG